GGGAGUCUUAUUACCCCCUUAAAAUACUUUAAAAUGGAAUAAAUAACUUCUUAAGUGUUAAGUUGGCAUGGAGAGUGUAUUUCACUCUCUUUGAGAGAGUGAGUUGCCUAUUUUUUUUAAAAAUUUCCGAUUUUUUUUUCUAAUUUUCUUUUUUCUUUCUCUUUCUUCUUAUUUAUCUAUAUAACAUUUUUCAUCAUUAUCAUUGUUGAAACUUUUUCAAUGGAUGUUUGAAAUAAAAUUAUCAACAACAAUGCAUUUAAUGAAUAAACAUUUUUUCAAUAA
This 282-nucleotide long non-coding RNA is filed under the name Solanum tuberosum (potato). RNAcentral's name for it is "long non-coding RNA (STUB_LNC004908)". Lineage: Eukaryota; Viridiplantae; Streptophyta; Magnoliopsida; Solanales; Solanaceae. The record is from RNAcentral.